Molecule: ribosomal RNA, 727 nt
Filed under: uncultured fungus
Lineage: Eukaryota; Fungi
Description: SSU rRNA
Rfam family: Eukaryotic small subunit ribosomal RNA
Source: RNAcentral
UAGGAUAGAGGCCUACCAUGGUGGUAACGGGUAACGGGGUGUUAGGGCACGACACCGGAGAGGGAGCCUGAGAAACGGCUACCACAUCCAAGGAUGGCAGCAGGCGCGCAAAUUACCCAAUCCCGACACGGGGAGGUAGUGACAAUAAAUAACAAUACGGGGUUCUUUCGGAUCUCGUAAUUGGAAUGAGUACAAUUUAAAUCUCUUAACGAGGAACAAUUGGAGGGCAAGUCUGGUGCCAGCAGCCGCGGUAAUUCCAGCUCCAAUAGCGUAUAUUAAAGUUGUUGCAGUUAAAAAGCUCGUAGUUGAAUUUCGGGGUUAGUAGGUUGGUCAUGCCUCUGGUAUGUACUGGUCUCACCGAUUCCUCCUUCCUUAUGAACCGUAAUGCCAUUAAUUUGGUGUUGCGGGGAAUUUGGACUGUUACUUUGAAAAAAUUAGAGUGUUUAAAGCAAGCUAACGCUUGAAUACAUUAGCAUGGAAUAAUGAAAUAGGACGUUCGAUCUUAUUUUGUUGGUUUCUAGGAUUGACGUAAUGAUUAAUAGGGAUAGUUGGGGGCAUUAGUAUUCAAUUGUCAGAGGUGAAAUUCUUGGAUUUAUUGAAGACUAACUACUGCGAAAGCAUUUGCCAAGGAUGUUUUCAUUAAUCAAGAACGAAAGUUAGGGGAUCGAAGACGAUCAGAUACCGUCGUAGUCUUAACCAUAAACUAUGCCGACUAGGGAUCGGAUGA